Molecule: ribosomal RNA, 398 nt
Filed under: uncultured bacterium
Lineage: Bacteria
Description: bacterial SSU rRNA
Rfam family: Bacterial small subunit ribosomal RNA
Source: RNAcentral
GGAAUAUUGCGCAAUGGGGGCAACCCUGACGCAGCAACGCCGCGUGCGGGACGAAGGCACUCGUGUCGUAAACCGCUUUCAGCAGGGAAGACAUCGACGGUACCUGCAGAAGAAGCCCCGGCUAACUACGUGCCAGCAGCCGCGGUAACACGUAGGGGGCGAGCGUUAUCCGGAUUCAUUGGGCGUAAAGCGCGCGCAGGCGGCCGCCUAAGCGGGACCUCUAACCCUGGGGCUCAACCUCAGGCCGGGUCCCGGACUGGGCGGCUCGGGUGCGGUAGGGGCAGGCGGAAUUCCCGGUGUAGCGGUGGAAUGCGCAGAUAUCGGGAAGAACACCGACGGCGAAGGCAGCCUGCUGGGCCGACACCGACGCUGAGGCGCGAAAGCCGGGGGAGCGAACA